This is a non-coding RNA of Gallus gallus (chicken), 96 nucleotides long. The record is from RefSeq and is marked provisional. Lineage: Eukaryota; Metazoa; Chordata; Aves; Galliformes; Phasianidae.
CCCUGCCGGGUGCCGUGCAGCAGCUGGUGUUGUGAAUCAGGCCGUCACCAGUCGGAGAACGGCUACUUCACAACACCAGGGUGGCACUGCACCACA